Molecule: ribosomal RNA, 2919 nt
Filed under: Lactiplantibacillus pentosus
Lineage: Bacteria; Bacillati; Bacillota; Bacilli; Lactobacillales; Lactobacillaceae
Description: 23S ribosomal RNA
Rfam family: Bacterial large subunit ribosomal RNA
Source: RNAcentral
GGUUAAGUUAACAAGGGCGCAUGGUGAAUGCCUUGGCACUAGGAGCCGAUGAAGGACGGGACUAACACCGAUAUGCUUCGGGGAGCUGUACGUAAGCUAUGAUCCGGAGAUUUCCGAAUGGGGCAACCCAGCAGUUUUAAUCAACUGUUACCACUAGAUGAAUUCAUAGUCUAGUUGGAGGUAAACGCUGUGAACUGAAACAUCUCAUUAGCAGCAGGAAUAUAAAGAAAUUUCGAUUCCCUAAGUAGCGGCGAGCGAACGGGGAACAGCCCAAACCAAAGUGCUUGCACUUUGGGGUUGUAGGACUGAACAUUUGAGUUACCAAAGAACUUGAUAGUCGAAGGAUUUGGGAAAAUCCGCCAUAGAUGGUGAUAGCCCAGUAGAUUAAAUCAAAUUCUCUCAGUUCAGGAUCCUGAGUACGGCGGAACACGUGAAAUUCCGUCGGAAUCCGGGAGGACCAUCUCCCAAGGCUAAAUACUACCUAGUGACCGAUAGUGAACCAGUACCGUGAGGGAAAGGUGAAAAGCACCCCGGGAGGGGAGUGAAAUAGUUCCUGAAACCAUGUGCCUACAAUAAGUCAGAGCGCGUUAAUGCGUGAUGGCGUGCCUUUGUAGAAUGAACCGGCGAGUUAUGAUCCCGUGCAAGGUUAAGACUAAAAAGUCGGAGCCGUAGCGAAAGCGAGUCUGAAAUGGGCGAUUUGAGUACGAGGUUAUAGACCCGAAACCAGGUGACCUAUCCAUGUCCAGGUUGAAGGUGCGGUAAAACGCACUGGAGGACCGAACCCGUGUAAGUUGAAAAUUGCUGGGAUGAGGUGUGGAUAGCGGUGAAAUUCCAAACGAACUUGGAGAUAGCUGGUUCUCUCCGAAAUAGCUUUAGGGCUAGCCUCGGAUUAAGGAUCAUGGAGGUAGAGCACUAUUUGGACUAGGGGCCCGUCUUGGGUUACUGAAUUCAGAUAAACUCCGAAUGCCAUUGAUUCAUGUCCGGGAGUCAGACGAUGAGUGAUAAGAUCCACCGUCGAAAGGGGAACAGCCCAGACCAUCAGUUAAGGUCCCUAAAUGUAUGCUAAGUGGAAAAGGAUGUGGAGUUGCAUAGACAACUAGGAUGUUGGCUCAGAAGCAGCCACCAUUUAAAGAGUGCGUAAUAGCUCACUAGUCGAGUGAUCCUGCGCCGAAAAUGUACCGGGGCUAAGCAUACUACCGAAACCAUGGAUGCGACCAUUAGGUCGCGUGAUAGGAGAGCGUUCUAAGGGCGGUGAAGCAAGAUCGUGAGGACUUGUGGAGCGCUUAGAAGUGAGAAUGCCGGUAUGAGUAGCGAAAGAUAGGUGAGAAUCCUAUCCACCGAAUGACUAAGGUUUCCUGGGGAAGGCUCGUCCUCCCAGGGUUAGUCGGGACCUAAGUCGAGGCCGAGAGGCGUAGACGAUGGAUAACAGGUUGAGAUUCCUGUACUAGUUAAGUGCGUUUGAGCAAUGGAGGGACGCAGGAGGCUAAGAUGUGCAUUCUGUUGGAUUAGAAUGUCCAAGCAGUAAGUCUUGUGGAGAGUCAAAUGCUUUUCACUUCAAGGACAAGCUGUGAUGGGGAGCGAAAUUUAGUAGCGAAGCGUCUGAUGUCACACUGCCGAGAAAAGCUUCUAGUGAGUACUUAACUACCCGUACCGCAAACCGACACAGGUAGUCGAGGAGAGAAUCCUAAGGUGAGCGAGUGAACUCUCGUUAAGGAACUCGGCAAAAUGACCCCGUAACUUCGGGAGAAGGGGUGCUGAUCGCAAGAUCAGCCGCAGUGAAUAGGCCCAGGCGACUGUUUAUCAAAAACACAGGUCUCUGCAAAAUCGUAAGAUGACGUAUAGGGGCUGACGCCUGCCCGGUGCUGGAAGGUUAAAAGGAUGGGUUAGCUUCGGCGAAGCUCAGAAUUGAAGCCCCAGUAAACGGCGGCCGUAACUAUAACGGUCCUAAGGUAGCGAAAUUCCUUGUCGGGUAAGUUCCGACCCGCACGAAAGGCGUAACGAUCUGGGCACUGUCUCAACGAGAGACUCGGUGAAAUUAUAUUGUCCGUGAAGAUGCGGACUACCCGCGACAGGACGGAAAGACCCCAUGGAGCUUUACUGUAGCUUGAUAUUGAGUGUUUGUACAGCUUGUACAGGAUAGGUAGGAGCCAUAGAAACCGGAACGCUAGUUUCGGUGGAGGCGUUGGUGGGAUACUACCCUCGCUGUAUGACCACUCUAACCCGCACCACUAAUCGUGGUGGGAGACAGUGUCAGGUGGGCAGUUUGACUGGGGCGGUCGCCUCCUAAAAAGUAACGGAGGCGCCCAAAGGUUCCCUCAGAAUGGUUGGAAAUCAUUCGCAGAGUGUAAAGGCACAAGGGAGCUUGACUGCGAGACAGACAGGUCGAGCAGGGACGAAAGUCGGGCUUAGUGAUCCGGUGGUACCGUAUGGAAGGGCCAUCGCUCAACGGAUAAAAGCUACCCUGGGGAUAACAGGCUUAUCUCCCCAAGAGUCCACAUCGACGGGGAGGUUUGGCACCUCGAUGUCGGCUCAUCGCAUCCUGGGGCUGUAGUCGGUCCCAAGGGUUGGGCUGUUCGCCCAUUAAAGCGGUACGCGAGCUGGGUUCAGAACGUCGUGAGACAGUUCGGUCCCUAUCCGUCGCGGGCGUAGGAAAUUUGAGAGGACCUGUCCUUAGUACGAGAGGACCGGGAUGGACAUACCUCUGGUGUACCAGUUGUGCCGCCAGGCGCAUCGCUGGGUAGCUACGUAUGGAUGUGAUAAACGCUGAAAGCAUCUAAGUGUGAAACACACCUCGAGAUGAGAUUUCCCAUUCCUUUAUGGAAGUAAGACCCCUGAAAGAUGAUCAGGUAGAUAGGUUAGAAGUGGCAGUGCGGUGACGCAUGAAGCGGACUAAUACUAAUCGGUCGAGGACUUAACCAA